This 1485-nucleotide ribosomal RNA is filed under the name Salmonella enterica subsp. enterica serovar Typhimurium. RNAcentral describes it as "partial 23S ribosomal RNA". It matches the Rfam family "Bacterial large subunit ribosomal RNA", at positions 215 to 1653 of the family's 2925-position model. The record is from RNAcentral. Lineage: Bacteria; Pseudomonadati; Pseudomonadota; Gammaproteobacteria; Enterobacterales; Enterobacteriaceae.
GGAAAAGAAAUCAACCGAGAUUCCCCCAGUAGCGGCGAGCGAACGGGGAGGAGCCCAGAGCCUGAAUCAGCAUGUGUGUUAGUGGAAGCGUCUGGAAAGGCGCGCGAUACAGGGUGACAGCCCCGUACACAAAAGCGCAUGUGCUGUGAGCUCGAUGAGUAGGGCGGGACACGUGGUAUCCUGUCUGAAUAUGGGGGGACCAUCCUCCAAGGCUAAAUACUCCUGACUGACCGAUAGUGAACCAGUACCGUGAGGGAAAGGCGAAAAGAACCCCGGCGAGGGGAGUGAAAAAGAACCUGAAACCGUGUACGUACAAGCAGUGGGAGCACAGGUUUACCUGUGUGACUGCGUACCUUUUGUAUAAUGGGUCAGCGACUUAUAUUCUGUAGCAAGGUUAACCGAAUAGGGGAGCCGGAGGGAAACCGAGUCUUAAUUGGGCGUUAAGUUGCAGGGUAUAGACCCGAAACCCGGUGAUCUAGCCAUGGGCAGGUUGAAGGUUGGGUAACACUAACUGGAGGACCGAACCGACUAAUGUUGAAAAAUUAGCGGAUGACCUGUGGCUGGGGGUGAAAGGCCAAUCAAACCGGGAGAUAGCUGGUUCUCCCCGAAAGCUAUUUAGGUAGCGCCUCGUGAAUUCAUCUCCGGGGGUAGAGCACUGUUUCGGCUAGGGGGCCAUCCCGGCUUACCAACCCGAUGCAAACUGCGAAUACCGGAGAAUGUUAUCACGGGAGACACACGGCGGGUGCUAACGUCCGUCGUGAAGAGGGAAACAACCCAGACCGCCAGCUAAGGUCCCAAAGUCAUGGUUAAGUGGGAAACGAUGUGGGAAGGCCCAGACAGCCAGGAUGUUGGCUUAGAAGCAGCCAUCAUUUAAAGAAAGCGUAAUAGCUCACUGGUCGAGUCGGCCUGCGCGGAAGAUGUAACGGGGCUAAACCAUGCACCGAAGCUGCGGCAGCGAACGUAUCACCCAAGACAACUUUACGGAGUUGACGAUUGACGGAGCGAAGCGACGUCAAAGCGUUCAUUAAAGUCGAGUUGGCUUAGGGAUACGUUCGUUGGGUAGGGGAGCGUUCUGUAAGCCUGUGAAGGUGUGUCGUGAGGCAUGCUGGAGGUAUCAGAAGUGCGAAUGCUGACAUAAGUAACGAUAAAGCGGGUGAAAAGCCCGCUCGCCGGAAGACCAAGGGUUCCUGUCCAACGUUAAUCGGGGCAGGGUGAGUCGACCCCUAAGGCGAGGCCGAAAGGCGUAGUCGAUGGGAAACGGGUUAAUAUUCCCGUACUUGGUGUUACUGCGAAGGGGGGACGGAGAAGGCUAUGUUGGCCGGGCGACGGUUGUCCCGGUUUAAGCGUGUAGGUGUGUGUUCCAGGUAAAUCCGGUUCACUUUAACACUGAGGCGUGACGACGAGGCACUACGGUGCUGAAGCAACAAAUGCCCUGCUUCCAGGAAAAGCCUCUAAGCAUCAGGUAACAUCAAAUCGUACCCCAAA